This 1340-nucleotide ribosomal RNA is filed under the name Haemobartonella muris. RNAcentral's name for it is "Mycoplasma haemomuris 16S ribosomal RNA". It matches the Rfam family "Bacterial small subunit ribosomal RNA". Lineage: Bacteria; Bacillati; Mycoplasmatota; Mollicutes; Mycoplasmatales; Mycoplasmataceae. The record is from RNAcentral.
CUCAGAAUUAACGCUGAUGGCAUACCUAAUACAUGCAAGUCGAGCGGACCUCUAGCAAUAGAGGUUAGCGGCGAACGGGUGAGUAAUGAAUACUUAACAUACCUCCAUGAAGGAAAUAGCUAUUCGAAAGAGUAAUUAAUGUCCUAUAGGAGCCUUCCUCACAUGAGGUUGGCUUUAAAGGCGCAAGCCACUUGGAGAUUGGAGUAUUUUCUAUUAGCUAGUUGGCGGGAUAAUAGCCCACCAAGGCAGUGAUAGAUAGCUGGUCUAAGAGGAUGAACAGCCACAAUGGGAUUGAGAUACGGCCCAUAUUCCUACGGGAAGCAGCAGUAGGGAAUCUUCCACAAUGGGCGAAAGCCUGAUGGAGUGAUGCCAUGUGAACGAUGAAGGUCUUUUUGAUUGUAAAGUUCUUUUAUUGGGGAAAAUGAUGAUGGUACCCAGUGAAUAAGUGACAGCAAACUAUGUGCCAGCAGCUGCGGUAAUACAUAGGUCGCGAGCGUUAUUCGGAUUUAUUGGGCGUAAAGCGAGCGCAGGCGGAUUGGUAAGUUCUGUGUUAAAUGCAGCCGCUCAACGGUUGUAUGCGCAGAAUACUGCCUUUCUAGAAUACGGUAGAAAGUUUUGGAAUUGAAUGUGGAGCGGUGGAAUGUGUAGAUAUAUUCAAGAACACCAGAGGCGAAGGCGAAAACUUAGGCCGAUAUUGACGCUUAGGCUCGAAAGUGUGGGGAGCAAAUGGGAUUAGAUACCCCAGUAGUCCACACCGUAAACGAUGGAUAUUAGAUGUUGGGACUUGAGUCUCAGCGUUGUAGCUUACGUGUUAAAUAUCCCGCCUGAGUAGUACAUAUGCAAAUAUGAAACUCAAAGGAAUUGACGGGGACCUGAACAAGUGGUGGAACAUGUUGCUUAAUUCGACAAUACACGAAAAACCUUACCAAGAUUUGACAUCCCCUGCGAAGCUUUAGAAAUAAAGUGGAGGUUAUCAGGGUGACAGGUGGUGCAUGGCUGUCGUCAGCUCGUGUCAUGAGAUGUCUGGUUAAGUCCUGAAACGAGCGCAACCCUACUCUUUAGUUAACUUUCUAAAGAGACUGAACAGUAAUGUAUAGGAAGGAUGGGAUCACGUCAAGUCAUCAUGCCCCUUAUAUCUUGGGCCGCAAACGUGUUACAAUGGUGGGUACAACGUGUCGCAAGCCAGCGAUGGCAAGCCAAUCACUAAAAGCCCAUCCCAGUCCGGAUAAAAGGCUGCAAUUCGCCUUUUUGAAGUUGGAAUCACUAGUAAUCCCGUGUCAGCCAUAUCGGGGUGAAUACGUUCCCAGGUCUUGUACACACCGCCCGUCAAACUAUGAGAG